Fusarium fujikuroi IMI 58289 is the source of this 156-nucleotide transfer RNA. It matches the Rfam family "tRNA". Rfam says of the family: Transfer RNA (tRNA) molecules are approximately 80 nucleotides in length. Their secondary structure includes four short double-helical elements and three loops (D, anti-codon, and T loops). Further hydrogen bonds mediate the characteristic L-shaped molecular structure. tRNAs have two regions of fundamental functional importance: the anti-codon, which is responsible for specific mRNA codon recognition, and the 3' end, to which the tRNAs corresponding amino acid is attached (by aminoacyl-tRNA synthetases). tRNAs cope with the degeneracy of the genetic code in two manners: having more than one tRNA (with a specific anti-codon) for a particular amino acid; and 'wobble' base-pairing, i.e. permitting non-standard base-pairing at the 3rd anti-codon position. NCBI's taxonomy places the organism in Eukaryota, Fungi, Ascomycota, Sordariomycetes, Hypocreales, Nectriaceae. The record is from Rfam.
GCCCGCGUGGCCUAAUGGCUAAGGCGUCUGACUGUAAGAUUUCUCCACCCUCAAAGUCACCUUUCCGAAAACUAAUAUCCCCUCCGUCUACCUAAAAUUUCACAAGAAAUUCAGAAGUGAAUCAGAAGAUCGGGAGUUCGAACCUCCCCGUGGGCU